GGAGGGGGGGGUGGGGGGGCACAUAUAUGGUUGCCUGAUGAAUCAUUACCCACUAAGGCCACUGAGGUUUUGUGAUAAGACUUCUGCCUGAGACAAAAUCAAUCCGAUGGGGUUAUCAGUUUGUAUUCCCACCAGGUUAUCAGUUUGUAUUCCCACCAGGUUAUCAGUUUGUAUUCAGUUUGUAUUCCCACCAGGUUAUCAGUUUGUAUUCCCACCAGGUUAUCAGUUUGUAUUCCCACCAGGUUAUCAGUUUGUAUUCCCACCAGGUUAUCAGUUUGUAUUCAGUUUGUAUUCCCACCAGGUUAUCAGUUUGUAUUCCCACCAGGUUAUCAGUUUGUAUUCCCACCAGGUUAUCAGUUUGUAUUCCCACCAGGUUAUCAGUUUGUAUUCCCACCAGGUUAUCAGUUUGUAUUCCCACCAGGUUAUCAGUUUGUAUUCCCACCAGGUUAUCAGUUUGUAUUCCCACCAGGUUAUCAGUUUGUAUUCCCACCAGGUUAUCGCUAGAUAAACACCAAGACAAUAUAAAGACGUGAACGGUGUCACUUCUUCAGUCUCUUACAAAACUCAAAUAUCUCACGGGAUUUUAUUUAUGCGCUUUUACGGAAUUCCAAUAGUAAUAAAUCAUUUGAAUAGCUGAGAAGAGUGGACAGUCUACAACACUGUGAUAUCAGGGUUAUUUUACCAUCUUGUGAUAGUUGGGUCGUUCCACCGAUUCAGUGACUUCUGAGAAGUGUCAUUUGGUAAAAAAAACAAAAAACUUUGAUUUCAACAAAUGUUUACAUUCUGUCAUAAAGAGCAUAUGUUCAACUUAAUAAAAAACAAACAUGUUUUACCAUCUCAA
Molecule: long non-coding RNA, 841 nt
Organism: Oncorhynchus nerka (sockeye salmon)
Lineage: Eukaryota; Metazoa; Chordata; Actinopteri; Salmoniformes; Salmonidae
Exons: 2
Source: RefSeq, a predicted model, not a curated record